UUUUCCAUAAUGUAUGGAAUGGCAAGUAAGCAACUCACUGUAAGUCAUGACAGUUAAACCGAUGACCCACUGAUUCCAUAACAAUGGAAUUGAUGAUUAAGGCGAGAGAAAACCAGAAAACAACAAGGAGUAUGUACCUUAAAGUUAGCCUCUUUUGGAGCUGCCAAGCCCGGAACCCAUCCAAACUCCAAGUGUUGUCCUCCUCCCUAAGCCCUAUGCAUUCCAUGCAUACCUUUCUUUUACUAUCAGUUCGGUACCU
RNAcentral lists this long non-coding RNA (259 nucleotides) under Vitis vinifera (wine grape). RNAcentral describes it as "long non-coding RNA (VVIN_LNC005670)". Lineage: Eukaryota; Viridiplantae; Streptophyta; Magnoliopsida; Vitales; Vitaceae. The record is from RNAcentral.